AACAGGAUGGCCGAGUAGUUAAGGCGUUGGACUUAAGUUCCAAUGUACGAAUGUACGCGUGGGUUCGAACCCCACUCCUGGUA
Molecule: non-coding RNA, 83 nt
Organism: Nematostella vectensis (starlet sea anemone)
Lineage: Eukaryota; Metazoa; Cnidaria; Anthozoa; Actiniaria; Edwardsiidae
Source: Rfam